CACACCGCCCGUCACAUCACGAAAGUGGGCUGUACUAGAAGUCGUCGUGCCAACCCGCAAGGGGGCAGACGCCCAAGGUAUGGUUCAUGAUUGGGGUG
RNAcentral lists this ribosomal RNA (98 nucleotides) under uncultured bacterium. Its description in RNAcentral is "partial 16S ribosomal RNA". It matches the Rfam family "Bacterial small subunit ribosomal RNA", at positions 1386 to 1482 of the family's 1533-position model. The record is from RNAcentral.